AUAAUGGCCGUCAUUCCCACAUGUUACAGUAGAAGAUACUCUAGAACUCUACAAGGUUAAAAAGGUAACGUGUAGUUUGUCCCAAGGUGUCUGCCUCCUCACCCAGAGCCAGACCUCCACCUCCUCACCCAGAGCCAGACCUCCACCUCCUCAACCAGAGCCAGACCUCCACCUCCUGUCAGAAGUCCUCCAGAACAGCUGAAAGGUGAGGCUGAGAGGCUUGGGACCGGAGGCUUGUGGUACCAGGAUGGACCAGAGACUGAGGCUGGAGACCAGGGGCCUGCAGCACUGGACGAGAGGGAAUCCAUGGCUGGAGGAGCCGCGCUGAAGGCCCUGCCUGGUGGAGGAGCUGACGGGAGGCCCUGCCUGGUGGAGGAUGUCUGUCGUGGGUUAGAUGGAGCCUGACUCUGAAGACUCUGUCUGAGGAGAGCUGAUGGAGAGCUGAUGGAGGAGCUGAGUCGCUGGAGGACGACUAGGAAUCGACCAACAAGGAUUCCUCAACGUGUUUCUGGAGCGGAGGCGAGCUGAUAGGGGAGCCGUGAAUCUGGAGGAUGAUGUCACUCU
This is a long non-coding RNA of Gadus morhua (Atlantic cod), 564 nucleotides long. Lineage: Eukaryota; Metazoa; Chordata; Actinopteri; Gadiformes; Gadidae. The record is from Ensembl.